UCUCGGCAACGGAUAUCUCGGCUCUCGCAUCGAUGAAGAACGCAGCGAAGUGUGAUACCUGGUGUGAAUUGCAGAAUCCCGCGAACCAUCGAGUCUUUGAACGCAAGUUGCGCCCGAGGCCAUCCGGCCGAGGGCACGCCUGCCUGGGCGUCACGCCAAAAGACGCU
This 167-nucleotide ribosomal RNA is filed under the name Zizania palustris. RNAcentral's name for it is "5.8S ribosomal RNA". It matches the Rfam family "5.8S ribosomal RNA". From Rfam's summary of the family: 5.8S ribosomal RNA (5.8S rRNA) is a component of the large subunit of the eukaryotic ribosome. The record is from RNAcentral. Lineage: Eukaryota; Viridiplantae; Streptophyta; Magnoliopsida; Poales; Poaceae.